CGCCGCUGCCUUGGAAACGCGGCGAGCGUGCUCCCCGGCGGAGCGGCCGUGCGGGGCCGGGCCUCGUGCAGGGGGAAGGGGCUGCUCCGGACCGCGAUGCUGUGCGCCCGAGGGCUGGGCGGCCUCCGCGCCCGGGCAGCGCCUCUGCGGCCGGGGCGAGCGGGCCUGGGCGGCCUCGGAGCCGGGAUUCGGGCCCGGGGGGUCAGCACCAGCUGGUCCCCGGUGGGCGCCGCCUUCAAUGUCAAGCCCCAGGGCCGCCGCCUGGAUCUCUUCGGCGAGCGCCGGGGUCUUUUUGGAGUUCCCGAGCUCAGUUCCCCAGAAGGAUUUCGUAUUGCCCAAGAAAAUGCCUUGAGAAAGACGGACUUGCUCGUGGAGCGUGCGCGCUGCACGCCCCCCGGGCCGCAGACCGUGCUCAUCUUUGACGAGCUCUCCGACUCCUUGUGCCGGGUGGCUGACUUGGCUGAUUUUGUGAAAAUUGCUCAUCCUGAGCCAGCAUUCAGAGAGGCGGCGGAAGAAGCUUGUAGAAGCAUUGGCACCGUGGUGGAGAAGUUGAACACAAAUGUGGAAUUGUAUCAAAGUUUGCAAAAAUUACUAGCUGAUGAAAAGCUCAUGGAUUCGCUUGAUCCAGAAACCAGGCGAGUGGCCGAACUGUUUAUGUUUGAUUUUGAAAUCAGUGGAAUCCAUCUAGACAAAGAAAAGCGUAAAAGAGCAGUGGACUUGAAUGUUAAAAUCUUGGAUUUGAGUAGUACAUUUCUCAUGGGAACCAACUUUCCUACCAAGAUUGAGAAGCAUCUUUUACCAGCACACAUUCAUCAUAACUUUGUAUUCACCGGAGAUCAUGUUAUGAUUGACGGUCUACAUGCAGAAGCACCAGAUGACUUGGUGCGAGAAGCUGCUUAUAAAAUCUUUCUUUAUCCGAAUGCCGAUCAGUUGAAAUGUUUGGAAGAACUGCUCAGCAGCAGAGACCUUCUGGCAAAGUUAGUAGGGUAUUCCACAUAUUCCCACAGAGCUCUCCAAGGAACCAUAGCUAAAAAUCCAGAGACUGUCAUGGAGUUCCUUGAGAAACUGUCUGACAAGCUUUCUGAAAGAACUGUAAAAGAUUUUGAGAUGAUACGAGGGAUGAAAAUGAAACUAAAUCCUCAAAAUUCUGAAUUAAUGCCUUGGGAUCCUCCUUACUACAGUGGUGUGAUUCGUGCAGAGAGGUAUAAUAUUGAGCCCAGUUUAUAUUGCCCAUUUUUCUCCCUUGGAGCAUGCAUGGAAGGCCUGAAUAUUUUGUUUAACAAACUGUUAGGGAUUUCGUUAUAUGCAGAGCAGCCUGCAAAAGGAGAGGUGUGGUGUGAAGAUGUUCGGAAACUGGCUGUCGUUCAUGAAUCUGAAGGAUUGCUGGGGUACAUUUACUGUGAUUUUUUUCAGCGAGCAGACAAACCACAUCAGGAUUGCCACUUUACAAUCCGUGGAGGCAGAUUAAAGGAAGAUGGAGACUAUCAACUCCCAGUUGUAGUUCUUAUGCUCAAUCUUCCUCAUUCCUCAAGGAAUUUACCAACUUUAUUAACUCCUGGAAUGAUGGAAAAUCUUUUCCAUGAAAUGGGACAUGCCAUGCAUUCUAUGCUGGGACGUACCCGUUAUCAACACGUCACUGGGACCAGGUGCCCCACUGACUUUGCUGAGGUUCCUUCUAUUCUGAUGGAGUACUUUGCAAAUGAUUAUCGAGUGGUUAACCAGUUUGCCAGGCAUUAUCAAACCGGCCAGUCACUGCCCAAAAAUAUGGUGUCUCGUCUUUGUGAAUCUAAAAAGGUUUGUGCUGCAGCUGAUAUGCAGCUUCAGGUCUUUUAUGCCACUCUGGAUCAAAUCUACCAUGGGAAGCAUCCCCUGAGGAAGUCAACCACUGACAUUCUCAAGGAAACACAGGAGAAGUUUUAUGGCUUACCAUACGUUCCAAAUACCGCCUGGCAGCUGCGGUUCAGCCACCUCGUGGGCUACGGUGCCAAAUACUACUCCUACCUGAUGUCCAGGGCAGUAGCUUCCAUGGUUUGGAAGGAAUGUUUUCUACAGGAUCCUUUUAACAGGGCGGCAGGAGAGCGCUACCGCAGGGAGAUGCUGGCGCACGGCGGGGGCAAGGAGCCCAUGCUCAUGGUUCAAGAUGAUGAAACAGGUCAGGUGCCCGCCCAUGUCAUGAGGCAGUGAGUAGAAGAGCCAGGAUUCGAACCUGUGACUUCUGGCAACAGAGACCAAGCUCUUCUGUAGUCUGUGCUGUUUCACGUUGGUGGUACAGGACACCCAGUUAAGGGUCUGUUAUAGACUCAGGUAUGCUUCAGAAGUGUCCUUCUGUUGAUGACUUUGUAAGUGCCCUCGUUUCUGACUUGGAUCUGGACUUCGAAACUUUCCUCAUGGAUUCCGAAUGAUGGAAACACCUCGAAUCUUUUAAAUCAAGGUCAUGUGGAUAUUAACUUUGUUGUAAAUACAGCUGUGAACACUCGUUCCUGAUUUCAAUAUUCACUUCUGUAAUAACUUCUGAAAAACCUUAAACUGAUAGAACUUGGAAUAAAUAAUUUGUUUUAAUUAUGCUG
Molecule: RNA transcript, 2567 nt
Organism: Equus caballus (horse)
Lineage: Eukaryota; Metazoa; Chordata; Mammalia; Perissodactyla; Equidae
Gene: MIPEP
Gene name: mitochondrial intermediate peptidase
Source: RefSeq, a predicted model, not a curated record